Molecule: ribosomal RNA, 214 nt
Filed under: uncultured bacterium
Lineage: Bacteria
Description: partial 16S ribosomal RNA
Rfam family: Bacterial small subunit ribosomal RNA
Source: RNAcentral
UAACCUGCCUGGUAGCGGGGGAUAACUAUUGAACGAUAGCUAAUACCGCAUAAGAGUAGAUGUUGCAUGACAUUGCUUAAAAGGUGCAAUUGCAUCACUACCAGAUGGACCUGCGUUGUAUUAGCUAGUUGGUGAGGUAACGGCUCACCAAGGCGACGAUACAUAGCCGACCUGAGAGGGUGAUCGGCCACACUGGGACUGAGACACGGCCCAG